RNAcentral lists this long non-coding RNA (1321 nucleotides) under Gallus gallus (chicken). Its description in RNAcentral is "lncRNA (ENSGALG00010000558.1)". The record is from RNAcentral. Lineage: Eukaryota; Metazoa; Chordata; Aves; Galliformes; Phasianidae.
CCCUACAGCACUGCACCCGCUCAGAAGGAAUACUCAAAAUUCAUUCCUCCACACUUUGCGACAGAGGGCUGAAGAAACUCACUUCUGUAUGGCAGGAAGGACCGUCCGUCCCUGUUGCGUCCCCCUGUGCGCUGCAAGGCGCGGUUGGAUCUCUGGCAGCCUGCUGGCUGCUGCUCCCAACCGCGGGGAACCGCACCGCGCCACUUCUGAAGAGAGAAAGGGAGAAACGGUGGUGGGAACGGGCAGCCAAGGUUUGCAGAGAGGUUCCAGAUCGUGCCACAGAUGGGAUAUCAGAGUGCUGAGACACUGAUUAUCACUAUGGGAAAAGACAGCCUGAGCCACGUCCACGUUGUUAGCCCAGGCUGUCAGCAGUGAGCGCUGAAUCCAACCGGUUACUGAGGUCACCAAGGACCAGCAGGGCUCCCCUUGCUCCGUCCCUUCCCCUUGAAAACAAGGAAACGGAAGCACCAAGCAGAAGAAGCCCAGCCAUACCUUGCCACUCACACGGCAGGAAUUGGAACCGCGGUCGUCUCCUUGCUGAGACAUGGCUGCUGAAGGCUCAGAGGAAGCUGAAGUUCCAGAGGCUCUCUCUGCAGGAACUUCCCCAGCCCUUGGAAAGAGCUGGCUUCCCUCUUCCUAAGACCGCCUCUAUCCCGGAAUCUCCUUUGGGACAGGAAUCCUGCAGAAAGUACCGACGAGUGCACACGCGAUGCUUCCGUCGGGCUCUCACAGGGUGAUCUGUUCCACAGAAGGCCCAGAGCUCAGUCUCUGCGUGCAGCACGCUCACCAGAGCACCAGCUCUGCUCACCAGCUGUGGCACAAACGCUCCCACCCCAGCAGUGGUUGUGACCUCAGCGAGUGCCCGCAUCGCCUCGGUGCUUUCAUCAUAAGCGAAGGAAAUGGACGCCUCCCAGCUCCACAUCUUAGGGUCACCCAAUGGGGUUAUCUGAAGAACAGGAAUGGAGAAGUGAAGACGACUCUUGUGCAGCCCAAUAAAAAACAGAAAAGACCAAUACGGCUUCACAGUGGUCAAUGGAGUCCCAGAGGAAUCACUGGAAACCAAUAGCAACGCACGCCUGGAUGUCCCGGGGCUGGUGCAGGUCUGUCUGGCUGUGGCGUUAGGUUCGGGGACCGAUGUAGGCCUCUCAGGCUGUGGCUGUACCUUCAGGCCUCGGGGCCGGUAUAGGCCUCUUGGGCUGUGGCUUUAUAUUCAAAGCUGGUGCUGGCCUCUUGUGCCAUGGCUGUGGCUUUAGGCCCUUGGCCUGGUUCCAGCCUCUCUGGCUGUGGCUUUAGGCCCGGGGGCCAAUGCUGGCCUUUUGGG